GGGCCUGUAGCUCAGCCUGGUUAGAGCGACGGUCUUAUAAGCCGUAGGUCCUGAGUUCAAGAAACUGAGAUUCUCAGCAGGCCCA
RNAcentral lists this transfer RNA (85 nucleotides) under Microcaldota archaeon. RNAcentral describes it as "tRNA-Ile". It matches the Rfam family "tRNA". Rfam says of the family: Transfer RNA (tRNA) molecules are approximately 80 nucleotides in length. Lineage: Archaea; Nanobdellati; Microcaldota. The record is from RNAcentral.